UGGUCAUUUUUAGUAUGUAUUGAUCCACUUGAUCCCAUUCCGAACUCAAAUUGUGAAAGUAUUUACGCCUUAUUUACUGCUUAGUUGUGGGACAUAUAAGGUAAUGACUAGA
RNAcentral lists this ribosomal RNA (112 nucleotides) under Reclinomonas americana ATCC 50633. Lineage: Eukaryota; Jakobea; Jakobida; Histionidae. The record is from RNAcentral.